Molecule: ribosomal RNA, 634 nt
Filed under: uncultured bacterium
Lineage: Bacteria
Description: bacterial SSU rRNA
Rfam family: Bacterial small subunit ribosomal RNA (bases 1-544)
Source: RNAcentral
CCUACGGGAGGCAGCAGUGGGGAAUAUUGGACAAUGGGGGGAACCCUGAUCCAGCCAUGCCGCGUGUGUGAAGAAGGCCUUUUGGUUGUAAAGCACUUUAAAGCGAGGAGGAGGCUCCCUAGACUAAUACUCUAGGAGAGUGGACGUUACUCGCAGAAUAAGCACCGGCUAACUCUGUGCCAGCAGCCGCGGUAAUACAGAGGGUGCAAGCGUUAAUCGGAUUUACUGGGCGUAAAGGGUACGUAGGUGGUCUUUUAAGUCGGAUGUGAAAUCCCUGAGCUUAACUUAGGAAUUGCAUUCGAUACUGAGAGACUAGAGUAUGGGAGAGGAUGGUAGAAUUCCAGGUGUAGCGGUGAAAUGCGUAGAGAUCUGGAGGAAUACCGAUGGCGAAGGCAGCCAUCUGGCCUAAUACUGACACUGAGGUACGAAAGCANGGAGACAACAGAUAGAUACCUACGUAGUACAUGCGUAACGAUAGUCUACUAGUCGUGGGUUCGUUGUAGUAGUUAGUUGGUCGCGAGCACGACGAGUAAGUAAGACCGCCGCGGGAGGUACGGUCGGCGAGAACGUAAACGUAACGAAAGAAAGUUAGUACGGACGUGAGACGAGCGACGGACGACGACGAGGGAGGAGG